GAUUUUGGGGCUCUCUCUGGAUUUAACGCUUCCCUUCUCUCCCAGCGCCCUCGGGAGCCGCGGAGCCGCCGGGCGGGGCAGGCAGAGAGGGCGGGGCCGCGCACAAUGCGGCGAGGUCACAGUGCAGGACGCAGCCAGGGACCUUUGUUGUUUUAUUUUUGGGGGGGUUUGUGCCAAAAAAGCGGCCGAUUUCGGGGCCGGGGUUUUAAAAUCGCCGCAGUUUUCGGGGCCCGGCGGACGGCGACGCUCGCGGCGAGUGUAGGUUCCGCUCCAAGUACCACCCGGAUGAGGCCGGGAAGCGGCAGCAGGAGGCCCAGGCCGCCCUCAGGAACCGCCUCGGGGUCUUCCUCUACCUCUGGGAGCACGGCUGGUUCGACAACCUGCUCCUGGACAUCGACCGUGCCCCCCAAAUCAUCAAAACCCUCGACGCAGCGGUGA
RNAcentral lists this long non-coding RNA (438 nucleotides) under Parus major (Great Tit). Its description in RNAcentral is "lncRNA (ENSPMJG00000004322.1)". The record is from RNAcentral. Lineage: Eukaryota; Metazoa; Chordata; Aves; Passeriformes; Paridae.